This 58-nucleotide non-coding RNA is filed under the name Sus scrofa (pig). Lineage: Eukaryota; Metazoa; Chordata; Mammalia; Artiodactyla; Suidae. The record is from RNAcentral.
UGGGCAGGUGGGAGAAGAGCAGUCUGCUGACGGCUGCGCUAUCUCACUCUACCCAAGG